RNAcentral lists this ribosomal RNA (239 nucleotides) under uncultured bacterium. Its description in RNAcentral is "partial 16S ribosomal RNA". It matches the Rfam family "Bacterial small subunit ribosomal RNA", at positions 109 to 334 of the family's 1533-position model. The record is from RNAcentral.
AGUAACGCGUAGGUAAUCUAUCCUUACAUUCGGGAUAACAUUGGGAAACUGGUGCUAAUACCGAAUGGUCUUCUUUGCUGCGGGGCGAAGGAGUAAAGGUGGCCUCUUCAUGAAAGCUACCGUGUAGGGAUGAGCCUGCGUACCAUUAGCUAGUAGGUGGGGUAACGGCCCACCUAGGCUACGAUGGUUAGCGGGUCUGAGAUGAUGAUCCGCCACACUGGAACUGAAACACGGACCAG